Molecule: non-coding RNA, 75 nt
Organism: Cordylochernes scorpioides
Lineage: Eukaryota; Metazoa; Arthropoda; Arachnida; Pseudoscorpiones; Chernetidae
Source: the annotation of a GenBank genome assembly
UGUCAAAGGAUGGGAAUCGAACCCACAGUGUUCCGCUUACCGGGCAGAUGCCAUGUCCACUAGGCUACCCUGGAC